GGAAGCCUCUUGAUCUCCAGGCAUUGGGGUUUUAAACAAUGCCGCCUUCUGCCUUCGUUAUGAGGCCUGGUUCCCCCGCAGGCCGAAGCAGAUCGGACAUUGAGUCCACGGGUGUCAACACAGUAGGAUUUUCCUCUGCAAGGAGAAGCCUCUGCAUUUGAGAGAUUUAAGAAUGGAAGAACAGAGAACGGAAUUUAACACGGAGCAAUGUAGACUCAGUUCUACUGAAGAUGGAAGUGGUAGCCAUAUCUGCAAUACAAACCACUGUUAUAUCUGGCAACUUAAAUGACUUUCAGCAAACGAACAUCCAUUCCAUGUUGGUAGACUGGGGUACAUUGGUGGGUGAAGGAGUAGCAGUCUCUGCAGCUCCAUUGAAUGACAAGGCACAGUUGGCUGUUGACAAAACAUACUAAGAACCAUGGCUGGAGGAGAAAAUGUCUGCAGAGACUUUACAAAAUGAAGGAAAGGAUGGGGAGCUGUCACCUUUCCAUGUGUGUUGUUUUGAAUAUAAUCUUAUCAGAGAGUGGGAUAUAUGCUGAAUGACUUCAGUAACUCAUCUCAACACUACUUGCAUGAAGCAUCUCAUCUAGGGCAAAAAAGGCAGAGUACAUACAUACUUCCCUUUCCUCCUUCUAUUUUUCCCACAAGAAGAACCUUGGCUGAGAGAGAGUGACCGGCCUAAAGACCGGCCUCAAGAACUUGAGAGCUGAAGAAGCUUCUUGGAUGAGAAGUGAAACAUAUUUAAAGAAAAACCAGAAAGUUCAGUUGCCUCUUGAAAAACCACCUUUGGGACAACCAUGACCUGGAUGACUGAGAAUCUUCGUAGAUGUCACCAAGCCUCCUUUCAUGCCUAAAGUGGGACUAGAGUUCUCAAGUCUCCUGGUUUCUAACCUGAUGCUUUAACCACUAGACCAAACUGUGUAAAUUGUGUAAGGUAGAACAACAUAGAAUUUAUUUAUUUUUUUUAGAUAAUGUUUAUUCAACAUUUACAUCUUUAACAUCCUUGCUACAUUUUUACAGCUUUCCGAUACUGGCAUCUGUAAUAAUAUCUAUAACCAACUAUAUACCCAUACAUUUUAUGUAUUACUUACGAAUUUCUAUAUUCACUACAAUUUAUACCUAUC
Pantherophis guttatus is the source of this 1124-nucleotide long non-coding RNA. RefSeq lists it as uncharacterized. NCBI's taxonomy places the organism in Eukaryota, Metazoa, Chordata, Lepidosauria, Squamata, Colubridae. The record is from RefSeq and is a predicted model, not a curated record.